This 72-nucleotide transfer RNA is filed under the name Myrmica ruginodis. Its description in RNAcentral is "tRNA-Leu". The record is from RNAcentral. Lineage: Eukaryota; Metazoa; Arthropoda; Insecta; Hymenoptera; Formicidae.
UUUAAUAUGGCAGAAUUUUAGUGCAAAAGAUUUAAAAUCUUUAAAUAAAGAUAUAUUUAUCUUUUAUUAAAA